This 459-nucleotide ribosomal RNA is filed under the name uncultured bacterium. Its description in RNAcentral is "partial 16S ribosomal RNA". It matches the Rfam family "Bacterial small subunit ribosomal RNA", at positions 338 to 795 of the family's 1533-position model. The record is from RNAcentral.
CCUACGGGCGGCAGCAGUGAGGAAUAUUGGUCAAUGGCCGAGAGGCUGAACCAGCCAAGUCGCGUGAGGGAAGAAUGUCCUAUGGAUUGUAAACCUCUUUUGUCAGGGAGCAAAGUCACCCACGUGUGGGUGGUGGAGAGUACCUGAAGAAAAAGCAUCGGCUAACUCCGUGCCAGCAGCCGCGGUAAUACGGAGGAUGCGAGCGUUAUCCGGAUUUAUUGGGUUUAAAGGGUGCGUAGGCGGGUUAUCAAGUCAGCGGUAAAAUCGUGGAGCUCAACUCCAUCCAGCCGUUGAAACUGGUGGUCUUGAGUGGGCGAGAAGUAUGCGGAAUGCGUGGUGUAGCGGUGAAAUGCAUAGAUAUCACGCAGAACUCCGAUUGCGAAGGCAGCAUACCGGCGCCCGACUGACGCUGAGGCACGAAAGCGUGGGUAUCGAACAGGAUUAGAUACCCUGGUAGUC